GGCGGCAUGCCUAACACAUGCAAGUCGAACGAACCCUUCGGGGUGAGUGGCUGCACGGGUGCGUAACGCGUGGGAACCUGCCCUUAGGUUCGGAACAACAGUUAGAAAUGACUGCUAAUACCGAAUAAUGUCUUCGGACCAAAGAUUUAUCGCCUUUGGAUGNGGCCCGCGUUGGAUUAGCUAGUUGGUGGGGUAAAGGCUCACCAAGGCGACGAUCCAUAGCUGGUCUUAGAGGAUGAUCAGCCACACUGGGACUGAGACACGGCCCAGACUCCUACGGGAGGCAGCAGUGGGGAAUAUUGGACAAUGGGCGAAAGCCUGAUCCAGCAAUGCCUGCGUGAGUGAUGAAGGCCUUAGGGCUUGUAAAGCUCUUUUACCCGGGAUGAUAAUGACAGUACCGGGAGAAUAAGCCCCGGCUAACUCCGUGCCAGCAGCCGCGGUAAUACGGAGGGGGCUAGCGUUGUUCGGAAAUACU
This 475-nucleotide ribosomal RNA is filed under the name uncultured bacterium. Its description in RNAcentral is "bacterial SSU rRNA". It matches the Rfam family "Bacterial small subunit ribosomal RNA", at positions 38 to 555 of the family's 1533-position model. The record is from RNAcentral.